UGUUCAGUCCUUCUAGACAACUUCCUAAUAAUGUUGCCUUCAAUUUUGUGGUAUAUAUUUGUUGUCAAUCCUAGACAAUUUUCUAAUCUAGUGUUAAUUUUUGCUGUGAAAGAUAAACUAAUGAACAGUUUGUUAGGCCUAGUUAGCAAAGUGUCCCAUUACAGUAUGAUAAUUUGCAACAUGCUGACUACCUCUCCCUUGAAGAAAGUUUUGUUUAAACUAGUAAAUGAACCGCAAGGAAACAUUGUUACUUACAAAUUUAGCUUCAAAUCAGUCUUUUUAUUUCGCAACUCCUUUCACUCAUGCUUUUGUUGGAACUGAAAUUAAUAAACUUAAUACCUUUUAGGUGCCAUAACUGGAGCAGUUACGACUCCUCUUGAUGUAGUAAAAACCAGAUUAAUGGUUCAGGUAUGGUGAAAUUGUCUUCCCUCUUUUAUUAUUUGAAGGAAUUUUUUGGAAGAAAUCCGAAAAUGGAAAUUUGUUAUGAAAUGAAAGAAUAACCACUUGGAGUUGUUAUUUUAGGUAUUGUCCUAGCCAUUAUAUUAUGCACAUUAACCACUUAAAGUGCAUAUAUUAAUCCAUAAGACAAAUAUUAUUAUUAAUAGGAGUUGCUAUUUGUAAUUCUUUUUUUUUUAUUGACAUGUUAUUAAACUUGUGACUUUGGUCUGAAGUGAUAUCUGACAUUAUCUUACUCUCCCUUCUCCCUAUUAGGGAACACAAAAACAUUACAAAGGCAUUUAUGAUUGUGUGAGGACAAUAGUUAAAGAAGAAGGAGCUAAUGCUCUUUUUAAGGUAUGCAUAUCUUUUUAAGUUUAGUGCAACACUAAUAGUUAUUUUCAUUCUUAGGUUUCUUUUAACCAAGCAGCUUUUUAAAAGACUUAAACUAUUUGCAGGGUAUUGGGCCAAGAGUGGUGUGGAUAGGAAUAGGUGGUUCAAUAUUUUUUGGUGUUCUUGAGAAGACAAAGAAAAUUCUUGCUCAGAAGCACCCUCCAAAUGAUGCUCAGGAGUGAGCUUUUUCAAGGCAAGAUUAAGCUGAUGAUGUUGCAAUGCAUCUUAAUCUUUUUAUGAUUGCAUGAAGCCACUUUGUUCAGCUUCUCUCUCCUUCAUCCCUAAAUGAAAACUGCCGUUUACACUAAAUGAUUUGCCAUCACACACAUGGAAAUGACCAAAAUACCGCAACGGUAGUUAACUACUAUUCGCUCCAUGAGAGAAAAUUAAGCAGCGAACAUUAGUUAACUACAGGUGGGGUAUUGAAUGUCAUUUCCAUGUGUUUUUAGCAACCUUUGAAGUGGGAAAAGCAAUCAUCUCUCUAAAUUGUUGCAUUGGGCCUGCAAGGAUUCAGUUUUAGCCUAUUGAUGCCUCAAUUGAAAGUUGGGCUGCAAUCAUAAAGCCUGAAUGAAAUUUGGGCCGGCUGGAGCUUUCUCUGAAAGACUGAUAAUGAUAAAGCACAUGCUGUCACAAAUGUAAAUUUAUUUAUUUUUCUCUAAUCCUUUCUAGAAAAUGAUUUAUUUCCCAUUCAAACACCAAAUGGGGGCAAGAGAACAUGGAUUGGAAGAAGAAAAUGGAAACUCAGAACUUAGGUUCGUUUACUUUCCAUCUAUCAUGUUUUAUUUUCACUUCAGCUAAUAAACAUAAGAGAAUAUUGAUCUAAUAUUCUUCUCAAUGACAACUCAUGAGUUUGUUGAUGAUUAUGUGACCCACUUGGGUUGGCCUGGUGGUAUUGACCUGGGACCUGGGAGUGUGCUCCUCCACGAGGUCUCAGAUUUGAUUCUCUCUAGUGCCAAUUUAGGUAGGCUAAUUUAGCUUCUUCCAAAAAAUAAAAAAAGACUAUUUCCUGUGGUAUCUAGUUCUCUUAUUUUCUUUUAUAUUUUACCCAUGAAACCUUAAUCUUCCAUAUGAUAUUCUCAUCACCUCUUCAACUGUAAUCUCCAUUUUAGACAACAUAAAAUAUAUGUUUUGUACUUUUAUCAAAUGUAAUGCAUUUGAAGUAAUAUUAAGAGGUGUUGAAAUAUUUUCUCUUAAUUUUUCGUCUAUCACUUGAAAUUGAGAUUUCUCAGAGUAAGUGCAUAUACUAAAGAGGAAAAGACUAAUUUUAGUCUGACAAAAUUGUGUGACCUCUGUUGCACCAACACUUCUAAUUGAAGGCGUGCUUCGGUGUCCAUGUGUCGUGUCCGACACUAACAUUUAUGAUUACAGUGAAUUAUGUCAUUUUUAAAAUUUUAUCAUUGUCGACGUAUCAAUGCCAUGUCUGUGUCAUGUUUGGUAUCGGUUUGUGUCUGUGAUUCAUAGGGUGUGAUCCAGUUUGCUCCUUUAGAAAAAUAAAUUGUGAUCCAAACUAUCUAUUUUUAUUAUUGAUAGGGAUUUUUUUUUUUUAAGAAUUUAUUGAUAGGGAUCUGAUUACUCUUGUUUGUCCCGAUUUUGAAAGAGUUUGUUUUUUAGGGAAAAAUUAAUAGUUUGUUUUUUAUUUUUCUCAAGAAAUAAUUGAACAGUUUUUUCUCAAAUACUUAAAUAAGUUUUCAUUUGUUCAUGUGAACUUAGUUCAGUUGAUAGUGACAUAAUAUAUAAAGGGGCUGACGUUCAAACCCAAACAUCCCACUUGUUUACUUUAAAGGUGGACUUCUAAUCACUAGACUACUUGACAAAAAAAAUCAUUUUAAAAUAAACAAUUUAAUUGUGUAAUGAUGUAUUGUCGCGUUAAUUGAUAAAUAUAAAAACACAUGAAUUAAUAUAGGGUGUUGUUAUUUUGUGCCCAUAGGGCACAAGUGAAAGAAUUCAAAAAUUAGAAACUUUUCAUAGAAAACAACAAAAUUUUGACUUUUAAAAGUUGAAUAAAGUUGAAUACACAAUUUUUUAGACAAAUGUUUCUAUUUUAAAUUUCUUAGCAUGUGCCCUUGGGACACAUGUUAUCAUUCUCCAUUGAAGGAAAUGUUAACAAGUUUUUUAGAGCACUUGAUAAAAAGUUUAAAAUGAAAAUUUUAUAUUAUGAUUUGUGUAUUCCCCACAUUAAAACAUCAAAAACAACUUUAAAAGAUAUCAAUGUUUUUAUUUUUUAAUUCUUCACAAGUGCUCUCAUGACACUAAUCAAUAUUAUCUUAACUUUAAAUAUGCAAAUAAAAUAUCAGCUUUAUUAUUUAUUUUUUCAUAAAAAAAAAGGGGGGUUUUGACUGGAGAGGGUCUUUAAAGUCAUGCGGGUAUUUUCCACCAAACUCUCCUACAUGGUAAGUUCAUGGACUCACCCAUCUAGCCAGCCAGCCAUAGUUGAAUAAAAAAAUGUGCAUAAUGUUUUUACCAAAAAACGUGCUGUUCAGCUACCUACCCUGCCACUCUUCCCUUCAUAUAAAACCAUCUCAUUCCAUACAUCUUUCCACUACAACACUCUUCCUUCACCCUUCUCUUUCUUUAAUUACAACAAGUACUACAAACAAAACCAACUGAGACUUUCAUUUGCUACCAAAGAUAUCAAUAUGGUUAGUGUGUCUGAAAUUCGCAAUGCUCAAAGGGCAGAAGGCCCUGCAACCAUUUUAGCCAUUGGCACUGCAAACCCAGCCAAUUGUGUUGAACAAAGCACAUAUCCUGAUUUCUACUUCAAAAUCACAAAUAGUGAACACAAGACUGAACUCAAAGAGAAAUUCCAACGCAUGUGUAAGUAUUUUUUCCCUCUACCUUAGAUACUUUCCAUUUAAAUAUAUUUUGCUAUCUUUACAUUGGUUUCUUAACACCCAAGUUUUGUUGAACUAAUAUCAUCUUUUCAUAAUUCCCUUCAGGUGAUAAAUCUAUGAUCAAGAGGAGAUAUAUGUACCUAACAGAGGAGAUUUUGAAAGAGAAUCCUAGUGUUUGUGAAUACAUGGCACCUUCAUUGGAUGCUAGGCAAGACAUGGUGGUGGUAGAGGUACCUAGACUAGGGAAGGAGGCUGCAGUGAAGGCCAUAAAAGAAUGGGGUCAACCAAAGUCAAAGAUUACUCACUUGAUCGUUUGCACCACAAGUGGUGUAGACAUGCCUGGAGCUGAUUACCAACUCACAAAACUCUUAGGUCUUCGCCCAUAUGUGAAAAGGUAUAUGAUGUACCAACAAGGUUGCUUUGCAGGAGGCACGGUCCUUCGUUUGGCUAAAGAUUUAGCUGAAAACAACAAAGGUGCUCGUGUGUUGGUUGUCUGUUCUGAAGUCACUGCAGUCACAUUUCGCGGCCCUAGUGAUACUCACUUGGACAGCCUUGUUGGACAGGCCCUAUUUGGAGAUGGAGCUGCUGCACUAAUUGUUGGUUCAGAUCCAGUACCAGAAAUUGAGAAACCAAUAUUUGAGAUGGUUUGGACUGCACAAACAAUUGCUCCAGAUAGUGAAGGAGCCAUUGAUGGUCACCUUCGUGAAGCUGGACUAACAUUUCACCUUCUUAAAGAUGUUCCUGGGAUUGUUUCAAAGAACAUCAAUAAAGCUUUGGUUGAGGCUUUCGAACCAUUAGGAAUUUCUGAUUACAAUUCAAUCUUUUGGAUUGCACACCCUGGUGGACCUGCAAUUCUAGAUCAAGUUGAGCAAAAGUUAGCCUUAAAACCUGAAAAGAUGAAAGCCACCAGAGAAGUGCUUAGUGAAUAUGGAAAUAUGUCAAGUGCUUGUGUUUUGUUUAUCUUAGAUGAAAUGAGAAAGAAGUCAGCUCAAGAUGGACUGAAGACCACGGGAGAAGGACUUGAGUGGGGUGUUUUAUUUGGCUUUGGACCAGGUCUUACUAUUGAAACUGUUGUUUUGCGCAGUGUCGCUAUAUGAGGUGCUUAAUUAUUUUAUUUUCAUGAAUCACUUUCAAAUUUGCUUGAUUUUUUGUAAGGAUGAAUAACCUGUCUACAUUCAACAUGUAAUAUCAUAUUAAAAGUAAUAUAAUUUGUGAUUUGUUUUAGAUUCUACUCCAGUUAUUUAUUUGAUAUAUCAUUUAUAAUGAUAAUUAAGAAGUAAAUUGUGUUAACAUAUAAAUGACUGUAAAUUGGAUGACUGUUACAAGUGAAUUUAAAAAGUCCUGUAAUGUAAUGUGUGCACUCUUCUAACUUAAUAGUAUUUGAAACUAAUUUUAAAUAUCUGUACACUGUACUAUGUUUUAUUUUGAAACAACAAAAGAUUUUAUUACUCUAAACAGAAACAAUCCAAUAGCAAUGUAGCAUAAGGUGUACUUUGUGAACAAACCAAGUGCAAAGAUACGCAACAAAAUAGAACAGAAAAAGAAAAGAAAAAAAAAAAACUAAAUCCAUCCAAACACACCACUGCCGGCAUCAUAAAGAAAAACCAGCAUCCUGUAUUAAAAUACAAUCCACGCCCUUAUGAAAACUCACAUGAACCUGACCACCUUAACACCUUUAAUACAAGAACAUGAUGUCACCACUGCAAUCUUCAAAAUAAUUCAAUACUCUACCCUUAAUGUUGCAAACGGUCUGCAACAUGCAUCACAGAAUCCACCAUAAGUGACAUCACCAAUCAUUUGAUGAUGCAAUUUAAGGUUUCAAUGUUUAACAGUAAAAAUUAACAAACCGACAAUAUAGUGCUUUGCAAAUUUUUUACUUCUGAAUGUGAGAGUUUUAGACACCCAAAUUCUAUGUAACCCCAAGUUAUGCAGAUCAUAAAUUCAUAUGAUGAUGAUGAUCUGAACAAUCCUUGAGAGAGCAUAUUGAGAAAAAGCUCAAGAAUGUUGAGGUAAGGGUUAUGCAGAAUAGACUUAUAGCAACUCAAAUUUUCUAAUAUUCCCUAUUUCAUCACAUCAAAUGAGUGUUCUUUUACCACUCAACGCAAACAUAUUCUAAAGGAUAACGCUAAUGAAAUUGAAAAUCUUGGCCAGUUUCUUAUACUUUUCAUUUUUUCUGUGUUGAUUUCCUCUCAAGGACAACGGUAUUUAGUAUCUGCGGAAAUUUACAAUGAAAAUAUUUUAAUUUAUUUGCACAUAAAAAAGAUUGAUUUUCUUUUCUACCCAAAUUAAUAUACAACAGAAUUUGAUACAAAUAAGUGUAUAAUAUGCAUUCCCUGUGUGUUGAAUUUAAAGCCCUAAGUUUUGCAGGGAUUCACAUUAUUCGAAUAAUAGGGUGUCUAAAUGUCCUAAAAAUUUUCCUUAAAAAAAAUGUCCUAAGUUUUGAUUUUUAUGUAAAUAUAUAACUUUUUUCCUUUUUUGCUCAACAAUUGUUUUAUUCUUGCCACCAUAUUGCCAUUCAAUAAUUUAGAUGACUUAUGCUUUUUUUUUUGACAAGAGACUUAAGCUAUGUUUGGAUACCAGUGGAAUGAGAAGGAAUAGAAUAAAGUUGAUGAACGAAACUAAAUGGAAUAAAGACACAAUUUCAUUGUUUGAACAUUUUGAUGAUGAAAUUGAGAAGACUAGUUUCAUCUAAUUUCACUCAAAUUAGAGGGCAAGUAAAAGAGGGUAUUAUAUAGGCAAAUAUGUGAAUAAUUCUGUGCACAUUAUGAAAUAUGAGUAGAUAAUCGCUUUUCUCAUACACAAUGCCCUAUAUGUAUAUAUGAGUAGAUAAUCGCAUCGAAAAAUAUAUUAUCCUUCUUUCUGCUACUAUAUAGCUGUAUUAUAUAUGUUCUCUUUAUAAAUAAAAUGACGUCAAAGUCCUGGUCACAUAUUAAUUCAGUCAUCGGUGCUCUCUCCUACAUUCUUCUUCGAACCAAUAUUUCACAGUAAUCAUUGAAUUUUUUUGAAAAUACACUUUUAGUAUUUUAAAAUAUUGUGAAGUAAUUAAAAAUACACUUUUCAAAUUAUUUAUUUAGAUUUAAAGCAGAUAAGCAGAAACAGCAUACCUUCACAAGGCUUGCAACAAGAUUGAGCAUACUCAUUUUGUUGUAUUUCCAAAGAAUAGGAAGCUGCAUAUAACAUAAGUAAAAAUUCCCACAUCUUAAUGAUUGUUUCUGGCAUAGUUGGAUCAAAGUUCUUGCAUUACUCAGAAUGUCCUUCUCCUUGAACUUUUAGGGAUAUUAUUAUUUUGUGGCUUCUCUUCUGUUUUUAGCACAUGCUUGUUUCAAGAGAGUCAUAUUUUUACCAGUUGGGCAGUAGUUGUAGACAAACUAUCUAUUUUUAUUAUUGAUGGUAAUUCAUGUAGGAACCAAAUUGUCCCAAUUUUUUUUCUCCAGAAAUUAAGAGUUGUUUUUUAUUUUUCUCAAGAAUCAAAUUGAACGGUUUAUUCUCAAAUACUAAAAUAAUUUUGCAUUUUAAAAUAAAGAAUUUAAUUAGUAUACAUUGUCGAUGUAUUAUCAUUUUACACAUACAUUCAAUCAUAUAUGUUGACACGUCAAUUAUUGAAUAUAAAGCACAAGAAUGAUCAUACUAAUUAAUUGAUGUGGCGAAACAUGUGUAAAAUAAUUUUUAAAUAUAGCUCAAGUAAAAUAUCAGUUUUCUUCCUUAAAAUAAUCAUUAAAAAAGGGGAUUUUGACUGGAGAGGGUAUUCAAAGUCUCCUACAUGGUAAGUUCAUGGACGCACCCAUAUAGCCAGCCAGCCAUUGUUGAAUAUUAAAAUGUGCAUAACGUUUUACUCAAACACGUGAUGUUCAGCUACCAACCCUUCCACUCAUUCCUCCAUAUAAAACCAUCUCAUCCCAUACCAUCUUUCCACCACAACACUCUUCCUUCACCCUUUCUCUUUCUUUAAUUACAACAAGUACUACAAACAAAACCAACUGAGACUUUCAUUUGCUACCAAAGAUAUCAAUAUGGUUAGUGUGUCUGAAAUUCGCAAUGCUCAAAGGGCAGAAGGCCCUGCAACCAUUUUAGCCAUUGGCACUGCAAACCCAGCCAAUUGUGUUGAACAAAGCACAUAUCCUGAUUUCUACUUCAAAAUCACAAAUAGUGAACACAAGACUGAACUCAAAGAGAAAUUCCAACGCAUGUGUAAGUAUUUUUUCCCUCUACCUUAGAUACUUUCCAUUUAAAUAUAUUUUGCUAUCUUUACAUUGGUUUCUUAACACCCAAGUUUUGUUGAACUAAUAUCAUCUUUUCAUAAUUCCCUUCAGGUGAUAAAUCUAUGAUCAAGAGGAGAUAUAUGUACCUAACAGAGGAGAUUUUGAAAGAGAAUCCUAGUGUUUGUGAAUACAUGGCACCUUCAUUGGAUGCUAGGCAAGACAUGGUGGUGGUAGAGGUACCUAGACUAGGGAAGGAGGCUGCAGUGAAGGCCAUAAAAGAAUGGGGUCAACCAAAGUCAAAGAUUACUCACUUGAUCGUUUGCACCACAAGUGGUGUAGACAUGCCUGGAGCUGAUUACCAACUCACAAAACUCUUAGGUCUUCGCCCAUAUGUGAAAAGGUAUAUGAUGUACCAACAAGGUUGCUUUGCAGGAGGCACGGUCCUUCGUUUGGCUAAAGAUUUAGCUGAAAACAACAAAGGUGCUCGUGUGUUGGUUGUCUGUUCUGAAGUCACUGCAGUCACAUUUCGCGGCCCUAGUGAUACUCACUUGGACAGCCUUGUUGGACAGGCCCUAUUUGGAGAUGGAGCUGCUGCACUAAUUGUUGGUUCAGAUCCAGUACCAGAAAUUGAGAAACCAAUAUUUGAGAUGGUUUGGACUGCACAAACAAUUGCUCCAGAUAGUGAAGGAGCCAUUGAUGGUCACCUUCGUGAAGCUGGACUAACAUUUCACCUUCUUAAAGAUGUUCCUGGGAUUGUUUCAAAGAACAUCAAUAAAGCAUUGGUUGAGGCUUUCGAACCAUUAGGAAUUUCUGAUUACAAUUCAAUCUUUUGGAUUGCACACCCUGGUGGACCUGCAAUUCUAGAUCAAGUUGAGCAAAAGUUAGCCUUAAAACCUGAAAAGAUGAAAGCCACCAGAGAAGUGCUUAGUGAAUAUGGAAAUAUGUCAAGUGCCUGUGUUUUGUUUAUCUUAGAUGAAAUGAGAAAGAAGUCAGCUCAAGAUGGAUUGAAGACCACAGGAGAAGGACUUGAAUUUGGUGUUUUAUUUGGCUUUGGACCGGGUCUUACCAUUGAAACUGUUGUUUUGCGAAGUAUCGCUAUAUGAGGUGCUUAUUUAUUUUAUUUUCAUGUAUCACCUUCAAAUUUGCUUGAUUUUUAUGUAAGGAUGAAUAACCUGUCUACAUUCAACAUGUAACAUAAUAUUAAAAGUAAUAUAAUUUAGUGAUUUGUUUUAUAUUCUGCUCCAGUUAUUUAUUUGAUAUAUCAUUUAUAAUGAUAAUUAAGAAGUAAAUCGUGUCAACAUAUAAUUGACUGUAAAUUAGAUGACUGUUACAAGUGAAUGAUAAAAGUAGUAAUGUAAUGUCUUCUAACUUAUAGUAUUUGAAACUAAUUUUAAUUAUCUGUACACUAUACUAUGUUUUAUUUUGCAACAACAAAAGAUUUUAUUACUCUAAACAGAGACAAUCCAGUAGCAAUGUAGCAUAAGGUGUACUUGGUGAGCAAAAAACCAAGUACAAAGAUUCACAACAGAAUAGAACAGCCAAAAAAAAACUAGGUCCAAACACACCACUGCCUGCAACAUAAAGAAAAACCAGCAUCCUUGAUUGAAAUGCAAUCCACACCCUUAUGAAAAUUCACAUGAACUUGUCCAAAUUUACACCUUGAAUACAAGAACACACCAAUUCAUGAUAUCACCACUGCAAUCUUCAAAACAAUUCAACACUCUACCCCUAAUGUUGCAAACGGUCCUAAACAUGCAUAACAGAAGCCACCGUAAGCGAUGUCACCAAAGAUGGUUCGGCUUGAAGAAGAAUUGAAGAGAUUGGUCAGGCUUGAACACUUUUUCGAGAAUGCUGAAGGAUAAUGAGUCAAGUUUAUGCAGGUUCGUAUAGAGUUGAAGAUUGUUCUCAAGGCUAGAGCCAAAAUAUUGCCUGCAGUAACUCUCUUGCUUGAUCUCUCACCUUUCUAUUGUUGAGAUGUAAUAAUUGUUACUUAUCUUGUUUCUGUAUUUCCAAGGCUGAUAAAGCACGUGCUGUCACAAAUUUUUUGAGAAUGUCGACAUUCUUUUCACUGCAACUAAAAAUGUAUUCUUCUUAUCUUGUCUUCUAUCUUCUUCCUAUACCUUGGACUCUUCAUCUUUUACUUUUUUUAGAUGAAUUGAAGCUUGCAGGAUACUCCAAGCAUCGAGAUGUACCUGUAUCGGAUGCCGACAACCUCUAGGCUCCAUGUAACCAUCUCAUUUGGCUUCGAGCUGGAUUAAGGUUCUAAUAGUUUCAGUUGCAAUUGCAAACAACAUGAUCUUUUCGCACCAAGCAAUGGGGAUGCCGAAAACCUCUAGGCUCUAACCACACACUUUUCAUCUUACAUACCUAGAGCUCUUCUUGGGACCAUUUAUAAAACUUUGUUGCAGUAAAUUGAAGGGAGCUAUCAUGAGUUCCUGAGCAAUAUAUUUGAGACGCGUGUAUAUGUUGUCAUUCAUCCUCCUUCCAUUGACAACUGAUCCUGAGUUGUUGAUGAUUAUGUGACCAUCUUGUUCAACUCUUCCCUGUAGUAUAUGGUUCUCUUAUUUUCUUUUAUAAUUUACCCAUGAAACCUUAAUCUUCCAUAUGAUAUUAUCGUCACCUCUUCAAACUGUAAUCCUCCAUUUUAUCACAUUUAAUGCAUUUGAAGUAAUAUUAAGAUGUGUUGAAAUAUUCUCUCUUCAUUUUUCGUCUAUAACUUGAAAUUGAGAUUUCUCAGGGUAAGUGAAUAAAAUAGAGGAAAGACUAGUUUUAGUCUCUAACAAAACUGUGUGACCCAAUUUGCUCUAGGAAAAAUAAAUACAAAUUUGAGUUCCUAAACAAUGAACUACAAAACUAGGUGCCUAAACCAUCGUCAAUAAAGAGACAAUUAGGUGCCUAACAAUAAUUAAAAAGGGGUGACUUGGUCCAAGACAAUAAUUGGAAAAGAGAUAAUUUAGUCCUACAAAAGAAAAUGUCCCUAAAUAGUUUAUUUUUCAGUAAAUCACUUAUGUCCUUUUUUUUCUUUAAUGUUCAAGCAAUAUAUAUAUAUACACACACACACAUACCCACCAUUGUAACUAUGAACUACCUAACAUGAAUUUUAUGGUAUGUUUUGAUGGAGGAUUUUGGAGGAGACGGAAGGGGUUAAUUACUUUUCUUUUUAAAUUAAUGCCACUUAAAAUGUUUUUAGAAUUUUUUUUUAAUUAGCAAAAUUUGUUAAAACUACCCUAGCAAGACUGGAGGGUAUGGAAUAUAUAGGCAGAAGAACACCCUUUCCCUGCACAAGACUAAAAGCUUAUGACCACCCCAAGCACCAAAACUGACUUAGACUCAAGUUAUGAGCCUGUAGUCCUGUAUAACGGCACCGAAUUACAGCGCCAUAGCUAAAUCUAGUCAAAGACAGCGCCUCAUCCAAAGACAAUGACCCAAAAAACUCCGUAGGACCAACCCCAAUCCAACCGGAAAAACAGCAGCCAAAAAACAGCAAACCAUAUAGCACCAUGCGCCACACUUACUCCAAAAAAGGCCAAAGACGACAGCAGCACCCUAAACCUUCAAAAAAGACCACCUGUCAACUGUCCAAACACACUUAGAAAUUAUUUAAUUGUGAUUGAAUUAUUAUUAUACGAUCAUUUAUCAUAUUGUUAUUUCAAUUUUAUUAAAAUAUUAAAUAUAUAUCAAAAUUGACGAAUCAUGGGACCUCUUAAGAAAUCUCAGCACCAUGUCCAGCGAUCCCUGGUGCAUAAUUGGCGACUUCAAUGACCACCUAUCUCCGGAAGAUAAACGAGGUGGCCCUUCUCGUACUGCCUGGCUCAUUAGAGGAUUCCAACAGGUGGUCACCGACUGUAAUUUAUAUGAUCUACCUCUUCUUGGCUACCAAUUCACUUGGUUCAAAAGUAUCGGCACCGCUUCUUCGAAGGAAGCCCGUUUAGAUCGUGCUCUUGUUACUUCCUCCUGGCAUGAUCUCUACCUGAAUGCAACUCUGCAAACUCUUAUGGCUCCAAUCUCUGAUCAUACUCCUCUUUUGCUUCAAUUGGACCCUGUUCCCUGGCGCACACCACACUACUCCUUUCGUUUCAACAAUUCCUGGCUUCUGGAACCGGAGCUCAUCAAUCUCAUUCAAAAUAAUUGGGGAUUCUAUACUUCCUCUAAUAUUAUUACCAAAUUCAACUACUGUGUGGAAGAUAUCUCAACUUGGAGCCGAGAAGCUGCACCAAAUUACAGACAUCUAAUCCGGAAACAACGCGAAAAAAAUAGAAGAGUUCCGCAAUGCUAUGUGUGAUGGUAACGACCCGCAAUUGGAAAGUAUGCAGAAAAAUCUCGCUUCUUUAAUUCUACAAGAGGAAACUUACUGGCAUCAACGUUCUAAGGUCUAUUGGUUAGUAGACGGACACUAAUAGCAAGUUCUUCCAUGCCUCUGCUUCGGCCAGGAAAAGGAAAAAUACUAUUACGCAACUGCGUGACUCUUCAGGUAAUUGGAUCACUUCGCAAGAGGAUCUUUGCGCCCUUGUUCGUGAUUACUUCACCUCCAUAUUCUCUUCACAACAUGGAGAUUAUCAUAGCAUCAUUUCCUCGGUCCACUCAAGGGUAACAGAUGACGACAAUACCUUGCUCACCCGGCCUUUCUCUGAAAUUGAAUUCAAGGAAACAAUUUUUAGCAUGCAUCCAGAUAAGUCUCCCGACCCUGAUGGACUUAAUCCAGCUUCCCUUGAGCCUAGCUCUUUGCCCAUAGAACUUAACGCCACGAAUAUUGUUCUAGCGCCCAAGAUAGACACCCCUGAAACUAUGAAGGACCUCCGUCCUAUAUCCUUAUGCAAUGUGCUCUACAAAGUAAUCUCCAAGGUACUCGCCAACCGCCUCCGUCCUCUCAUUAACAAAUGGAUCUCACCAGAACAGUCUGCCUUUGUUCACUCUCGUUCUAUCAUGGAUAACGCUUUAACAACAUUUGAGACUCUCCACCAUAUGCGUUGCAAAAGGAAAGGAAAAAUUGGUGAAGUUGCUUUGAAGUUAGACAUCUCUAAGGCUUUUGACAGUGUAAGUUGGUCCUACCUUGAAGCUAUUCUUUCCAAGAUGGGGUUUAAUGCUAAAUGGAUUUCUUGGAUGAUGAUGUGUAUUACCUCUGUCGAGUACCACAUCAUUUUUAAUGGUGAUCGCAUCGGUCCUAUUACUCCCCAACGUGGUCUGCGCCAAGGAUGUCCCCUCUCUCCUUAUCUCUACAUUUUAUGUGCCGAGGGUCUAUCAUCGAUCAUAAAAAAUUAUGAGCUUCGUGGUAAACUACAUGGUUCUCGUGUGUGUCAAACUGCUCCUCCCAUUAGCCACCUCCUAUUUGCUGACGAUAGCUUCCUCUUUUGCAAAGUAACAAUCUCGGAAACACAAAGCCUAAAUGAAGUUCUCUCCCAUUAUGAAUCAGCAUCAGGGCAAGGAAUUAACUAUGGAAAAUCUGCCAUCGCCUUUAGCGCAAAUACGGAUUCUGGUGUUAUCACAAACAUUUCCUCAUUACUUGGUGUUUCUAACACAAUUGGCUCCGGGAAAUACUUAGGCCUUCCGUCUAUGGUUGGUCGUAGUAAGAAAGCAAUCUUCUCUUAUCUUAAGGACCGUAUUUGGAAAAAAUGUCAAGCGUUGAGUGCUCGAUCUCUAUCACGUGCCGGUAAAGAAGUCUUGAUCAAAUCAGUUUCCCAAGCCAUACCUUCUUAUUGUAUGGGUGCCUUCCUUCUCCCUACCUCUCUUUGUGAUGAGAUUGAAAAAAUCAUGAACUCCUUCUAUUGGGAUAAGUUAACUCUCCACAAAAGUUUGGGAGGCCUCGGCUUUCGAAACAUGGAAGCUUUCAAUUUAUCUAUGCUUGGUAAGCAAAGUUGGAAACUCCUUUCAGAUUCGUCUUCUCUACUUACACGAAUUCUCAAAGCUAAAUAUUUCCCGCGAAGGGAUUUCUUGGAUGCCCCUCUCGGCCAUAAUCCAAGCUACACCUGGAGAAGCCUAUGGAGUGCACAACAUUUACUUACCUUGGGACAUAGAUGGAAGAUUGGUUAUGGUUCAAGAAUUAAAGUGUGGAGCACGCCUUGGCUGCGAGACCUUCCGACCCUUAAACCAUCUACUCCUCCUCCACCAAAUUUUGAGGAUUUAACUAUUAACCACUUAAUGCUACCGGACCUCUCUUCUUGGAAUUAUAACCUCGUCCAAUCAUUGUUUAAUCCUAGCGAUGUUGUUGCAAUAUUAUCUACUCCACUCUAUAAUAGACGUAGAGAAGAUACUUGCAUUUGGAAGGCUACGGUUGACGGAUCCUACUCCGUUAAAACGGCCUACCGCAUCUGCACCGACAUUCUUAGUGAAGUAUCGCCGCAACCGAACUCAACACAAUGGCAGCUCCUUUGGCGCCUUCGUGUCCCUCCUAGAGUACGAGCCUUCCUUUGGCGCGCAGCUCACCAUUGUCUACCUACAAGAGACAAUCUAUCCAAGCGUGGUAUCCCUUGUUUAGAAACUUGUGUAUCUUGUGAUCUUCUGGCUGAAUCCCAUAUGCACUUAUUCUUUGUUUGUCAUAAAGCAAUUGCUUGCUGGGACCUCCUUGGCAUAGGUAGCAUUAUUCAAGAUUUACUCUACGGGGCCGAUUCAUUUCAACAAAUGCUUUUUGACUUGUUGCAUAAACUUCAUGAUCAUCAAAGACCAUUAGCAGCUCUUAUCAUUUGGAGCUUGUGGAAGAGUAGAAACUUGUUACUUUGGGAAGACAACGGCACUACUCCAUCUCUCACAGUAACUCGCGCCCAAGAAGUGCUUCAUGAAUGGAGUUGUGUUCAAAAGGCCAAACAUCCAGAUCACCGCGUCGAGCAACACCCUACCUGGGAAAAGCCUCCUCACGGCACAAUCAAGUGCAAUGUCGACGCAACCCUUCUCAAUGGUAACUCGGUAAUGUGUUAUGGUUUAUGCUUCCGCGACUCUUCUGGAAACCUUCUCUUCGGCAAGUCAGACUUCAAACUUUUGUCGGCUACUGUUUUGGAAGCUGAAGCUAUAGGUCUCUUGGAAUCUCUCAAAAUGGCCAUCUCCAAAGACCUUCGCCAUGUUGCAUUUGAAACAGAUAAUAAAAUUUUGGUUGAUCUACUAGGAAACACCGCUCUCCCCCUUAAUGAAAUUGGUGAUUUAGUUUCAGAAUGUAAAACUCUCUUGUUAAAUAAUCCCGACUAUAUAGUGUCGUUUGUUAGGAGGCAAGCAAAUAGUGUGGCUCAUAACAUUGCAAGAGCUGCAAUAAUUUUGCCUUUGCUCAAAAAAAAAAAAAGUAUAUAUAUAUAUAUAUAUAUCAAAAUAUAGGCUUAUUCCUCCAUAUAUAUCUCCUCCAAAACUCAACUUCCAAACAUACUUUUUUUUUUCUGUUCUUUUUUAGAACUAUCAAGUGUUAAGGAUCUUUUUAAAAUUUUCAAUGUUAAAAAAACAUAGAUGGUAGACUUUUAUGUUGUUAGGUACCAAACUAUCUAUAUUUUUCGAUAGACGAAAUGACAAAUAAUCAUUGAAACUCUCACACACAUAAGUGAAGAGGCUGAGAUCCAAACUCUAAUCACAACGUCUGGCCUUGCAAUUGGACCAUUUUACUAGUUGGGCAGUACUUAUAGACAAAUUGUCCCAUUUUUAUUUUUUUUUAGUAAAAAUUGUUCAAAAAAUUUUCUCUCCAGAAAUUAAGAGUUAUAUUUUAUUUUUCACAAGAAUCAAAUUGAACUGUUUAUUCUUAGAUUCUAAAAUAAAGUUGCAUUUCAACAUACAUAAUUUAAUUAGUAUUCAUCAUUUUACACAUAUAUUCAAUCAUAUAUGUUUGAUACAUCAAUUAUUAAAUAUAAACACAUGAAUGAUGAUAUUAAUUAAUUGAAGUGACAAAACAUGUGUAAAAUCAUUUUUAAAUAUAUGUGUAUGGUAAUUAAACUCAAGUAAAAUAUCAGUUUUCUUCCUUAAAAUAAUCAUUAAAAAAGGGGAUUUUGACUGGAGAGGGUAUUCAAAGUCUCCUACAUGGUAAGUUCAUGGACGCACCCAUAUAGCCAGCCAGCCAUUGUUGAAUAUUAAAAUGUGCAUAACGUUUUACUCAAACACGUGAUGUUCAGCUACCAACCCUUCCACUCAUUCCUCCAUAUAAAACCAUCUCAUCCCAUACCAUCUUUCCACCACAACACUCUUCCUUCACCCUUUCUCUUUCUUUAAUUACAACAAGUACUACAAACAAAACCAACUGAGACUUUCAUUUGCUACCAAAGAUAUCAAUAUGGUUAGUGUGUCUGAAAUUCGCAAUGCUCAAAGGGCAGAAGGCCCUGCAACCAUUUUAGCCAUUGGCACUGCAAACCCAGCCAAUUGUGUUGAACAAAGCACAUAUCCUGAUUUCUACUUCAAAAUCACAAAUAGUGAACACAAGACUGAACUCAAAGAGAAAUUCCAACGCAUGUGUAAGUAUUUUUUCCCUCUACCUUAGAUACUUUCCAUUUAAAUAUAUUUUGCUAUCUUUACAUUGGUUUCUUAACACCCAAGUUUUGUUGAACUAAUAUCAUCUUUUCAUAAUUCCCUUCAGGUGAUAAAUCUAUGAUCAAGAGGAGAUAUAUGUACCUAACAGAGGAGAUUUUGAAAGAGAAUCCUAGUGUUUGUGAAUACAUGGCACCUUCAUUGGAUGCUAGGCAAGACAUGGUGGUGGUAGAGGUACCUAGACUAGGGAAGGAGGCUGCAGUGAAGGCCAUAAAAGAAUGGGGUCAACCAAAGUCAAAGAUUACUCACUUGAUCGUUUGCACCACAAGUGGUGUAGACAUGCCUGGAGCUGAUUACCAACUCACAAAACUCUUAGGUCUUCGCCCAUAUGUGAAAAGGUAUAUGAUGUACCAACAAGGUUGCUUUGCAGGAGGCACGGUCCUUCGUUUGGCUAAAGAUUUAGCUGAAAACAACAAAGGUGCUCGUGUGUUGGUUGUCUGUUCUGAAGUCACUGCAGUCACAUUUCGCGGCCCUAGUGAUACUCACUUGGACAGCCUUGUUGGACAAGCACUAUUUGGAGAUGGAGCUGCUGCACUAAUUGUUGGUUCAGAUCCAGUACCAGAAAUUGAGAAACCAAUAUUUGAGAUGGUUUGGACUGCACAAACAAUUGCUCCAGAUAGUGAAGGGGCCAUUGACGGUCACCUUCGUGAAGCUGGACUAACAUUUCACCUUCUUAAAGAUGUUCCUGGGAUUGUUUCAAAGAACAUCAAUAAAGCAUUGGUUGAGGCUUUCGAACCAUUAGGAAUUUCUGAUUACAAUUCAAUCUUUUGGAUUGCACACCCUGGUGGACCUGCAAUUCUAGAUCAAGUUGAGCAAAAGUUAGCCUUAAAACCUGAAAAGAUGAAAGCCACCAGAGAAGUGCUUAGUGAAUAUGGAAAUAUGUCAAGUGCCUGUGUUUUGUUUAUCUUAGAU
RNAcentral lists this long non-coding RNA (17254 nucleotides) under Medicago truncatula (barrel medic). RNAcentral's name for it is "long non-coding RNA (MTRU_LNC007723)". The record is from RNAcentral. Lineage: Eukaryota; Viridiplantae; Streptophyta; Magnoliopsida; Fabales; Fabaceae.